UGCUCUUCCCUCCCCUGCAUUCUCGUGAUUGAGGGUUCGCGCUUUUUGUCAGAAUGAAUGACAAUAUAACUUUAGUAUUGCACCAUGGAGGAAGAUUCACUCCACGUGCCAGUGAUGGAAAGGUUGAAUAUAUAGGCGGAGAAUUUGACGUUUGGGAGGAUAUAUCUGCAGAUUGCCUGAAUGCAUUUAUCUUAUAUGAUCUGGUGAAAGCUUGUAAGAAGUAUAGCAAUAUAGGAGAAUGUUUUUGGUUGAUUGAUAAGGACUUAGAUUUUAAUCAUGGGUUAAGGAGUUGUACAACUGAUGGAGAUAUAUUACACUUAGUUAGGGAUGCUUUUGAAAAUGAGAAUGAGAUAAAUGUUUAUUUUCAUCA
Long non-coding RNA from Glycine soja, 370 nucleotides. RefSeq lists it as uncharacterized. The transcript is spliced from 2 exons. NCBI's taxonomy places the organism in Eukaryota, Viridiplantae, Streptophyta, Magnoliopsida, Fabales, Fabaceae. The record is from RefSeq and is a predicted model, not a curated record.